GACACGACUCUCGGCAACGGAUAUCUCGGCUCUCGCAUCGAUGAAGAACGUAGCGAAAUGCGAUACCUGGUGUGAAUUGCAGAAUCCCGCGAACCAUCGAGUCUUUGAACGCAAGUUGUGCCCGAGGCCACCCGGUCGAGGGCACACCUGCCUGGGCGUCACGC
Molecule: ribosomal RNA, 164 nt
Filed under: Brachypodium pinnatum
Lineage: Eukaryota; Viridiplantae; Streptophyta; Magnoliopsida; Poales; Poaceae
Description: 5.8S ribosomal RNA
Rfam family: 5.8S ribosomal RNA
About the family: 5.8S ribosomal RNA (5.8S rRNA) is a component of the large subunit of the eukaryotic ribosome. It is transcribed by RNA polymerase I as part of the 45S precursor that also contains 18S and 28S rRNA.
Source: RNAcentral